RNAcentral lists this non-coding RNA (117 nucleotides) under Symbiodinium sp. CCMP2430. The record is from RNAcentral. Lineage: Eukaryota; Dinophyceae; Suessiales; Symbiodiniaceae.
UAGGAGAAGACACUGAAGGACGUGUGGUGAGUGAAAGAAGAAGGAAAGGCGUGCGCUCGUUCCUCACUUACCCUUUCAUUCUUCUUCAUUCUUCACUACAGCACACUAGGAAUUACA